This 519-nucleotide ribosomal RNA is filed under the name uncultured Entrophospora. Its description in RNAcentral is "SSU rRNA". It matches the Rfam family "Eukaryotic small subunit ribosomal RNA", at positions 569 to 1081 of the family's 1831-position model. The record is from RNAcentral. Lineage: Eukaryota; Fungi; Glomeromycota; Glomeromycetes; Entrophosporales; Entrophosporaceae.
AGCAGCCGCGGUAAUUCCAGCUCCAAUAGCGUAUAUUAAAGUUGUUGCAGUUAAAAAGCUCGUAGUUGAAUUUCGGGAUUGACGUGAUGAUCAUGCCUUAAGGGGUAUGAACUGUUGCUGUUGAUUUCUCACCUUCUGGAGAAACUUGAUGUCCUUUAUUUGGGUGUCUUGCGGAUCCAGGACCUUUACCUUGAAAAAAUUAGAGUGUUUAAAGCAGGCAUUUUUGCUCGAAUACGUUAGCAUGGAAUAAUAGAAUAGGACGGCAUGGUUCUAUUUUGUUGGUUUCUAGGAUCACCGUAAUGAUUAAUAGGGAUAGUUGGGGGCAUUAGUAUUCAAUUGUCAGAGGUGAAAUUCUUGGAUUUAUUGAAGACUAACUACUGCGAAAGCAUUUGCCAAGGAUGUUUUCAUUAAUCAAGAACGAAAGUUAGGGGAUCGAAGACGAUCAGAUACCGUCGUAGUCUUAACCAUAAACUAUGCCGACUAGGAAUCAGACGAUGUUAAUUUUUAAUGUACUCGUUU